CCAAGGAGUCUAACAUGUGCGCGAGUCGCAGGGUGCUCGCAAAAUAAAUGAAGGACGAACCCCGAAGGCGCAAUGAAAGUGAAGGUCGGUGGUCUGACCGACAGAGGCGGGAUCCGUCCGGGCAUCGAUCGCUGUUUGCUUAACGGCUUGAGCGRUGAGCCCGGCGGCGCACCGCCGGCCCGUCUCGACCGCUUCUCGUCGGCGAGGCGGAGCAAGAGCGCACACGUUGGGACCCGAAAGAUGGUGAACUAUGCUCGGGCAGGACGAAGCCAGAGGAAACUCUGGUGGAGGUCCGUAGCGAUUCUGACGUGCAAAUCGAUCGUCGGACCCGAGUAUAGGGGCGAAAGACUAAUCGAACCGUCUA
This 364-nucleotide ribosomal RNA is filed under the name Cormocephalus westwoodi. RNAcentral's name for it is "eukaryotic LSU rRNA". It matches the Rfam family "Eukaryotic large subunit ribosomal RNA", at positions 666 to 946 of the family's 3401-position model. The record is from RNAcentral. Lineage: Eukaryota; Metazoa; Arthropoda; Chilopoda; Scolopendromorpha; Scolopendridae.